UGGGGAAUUUUGGACAAUGGGCGCAAGCCUGAUCCAGCCAUGCCGCGUGCAGGAUGAAGGCCUUCGGGUUGUAAACUGCUUUUGUACGGAACGAAAAGGUGCCUUCUAAUAAAGGGCGCUCAUGACGGUACCGUAAGAAUAAGCACCGGCUAACUACGUGCCAGCAGCCGCGGUAAUACGUAGGGUGCGAGCGUUAAUCGGAAUUACUGGGCGUAAAGCGUGCGCAGGCGGUUUUGUAAGACAGAGGUGAAAUCCCCGGGCUCAACCUGGUAACUGCCUUUGUGACUGCAAGGCUGGAGUGCGGCAGAGGGGGAUGGAAUUCCGAGUGUAGCAGUGAAAUGCGUAGAUAUGCGGAGGAACACCGAUGGCGAAGGCAAUCCCCUGGGCCUGCACUGACGCUCAUGCACGAAAGCGUGGGGAGCAAACA
This 427-nucleotide ribosomal RNA is filed under the name uncultured bacterium. RNAcentral's name for it is "bacterial SSU rRNA". It matches the Rfam family "Bacterial small subunit ribosomal RNA", at positions 355 to 774 of the family's 1533-position model. The record is from RNAcentral.